UCGGGAAUUUUGGGCAAUGGGCGAAAGCCUGACCCAGCAACGCCGCGUGAAGGAUGAAGUAUUUCGGUAUGUAAACUUCGUAAGAAUGGGAAGAAUAAAUGACGGUACCAUUUGUAAGGUCCGGCUAACUACGUGCCAGCAGCCGCGGUAAUACGUAGGGACCAAGCGUUGGUCGGAUUUACUGGGCGUAAAGGGAGCGUAGGCGGCGCGUCAAGUCAGCUGUGAAAUCUUAAGGCUUAACCUUAAGCGGUCAGCUGAUACUGUCGUGCUAGAGUGCAGAAAGGGCAAUCGGAAUUCUUGGUGUAGCGGUGAAAUGCGUAGAUAUCAAGAGGAACACCUGAGGCGAAGGCGGGUUGCUAGGCUGACACUGACGCUGAGGCUCGAAAGCUAGGGGAGCAA
RNAcentral lists this ribosomal RNA (399 nucleotides) under uncultured bacterium. Its description in RNAcentral is "bacterial SSU rRNA". It matches the Rfam family "Bacterial small subunit ribosomal RNA", at positions 355 to 771 of the family's 1533-position model. The record is from RNAcentral.